CCUGGCGAGCGAACGCGCGCGCGCCCCACGCAGCGCGGGACCCGGCCAGCAGCCGGCGCAGCGCUCCCCGGCCGCCAAGGCGAAAUGGAAACUGAAGACUUGGCAUCAUUUUAAAUUCCAGAAAUGUGGGAGAAAACAAAGCCAACAAAAGAUUCUUCCGGUUUUGCCUGGAUUUCAGUUAUAGUUCUUGGGCACUGAAUGACAGUAUCCACCAACAUAAAAAAAGACUCUAGAUAUUUUGAUAGAGGUUCAUUGCUCUGCAUAUCAAGGUCAACCCCAAAGAUUGCUUUGGCCUAGAUUCCUUGCCGAUUCCUUGGAUGCUAUUUCGGUCCUUUCUGCUGUAUAUGCAACUUUCAAAAUGUUGCUUAUUAUGAACGGGAAGUCUUUGGGCUUUUGUUUCUGAACUUACUUCAUU
Molecule: long non-coding RNA, 415 nt
Organism: Malaclemys terrapin pileata
Lineage: Eukaryota; Metazoa; Chordata; Testudines; Emydidae
Exons: 3
Source: RefSeq, a predicted model, not a curated record